CCUACGGGCGACAGCAGUGGGGGAUAUUGCACAAUGGGGGGAACCCUGAUGCAGCGACGCCGCGUGGGUGAAGAAGCGCCUCGGCGCGUAAAGCCCUGUCAGCAGGGAAGAAAAUGACGGUACCUGCAGAAGAAGCCACGGCUAACUACGUGCCAGCAGCCGCGGUAAGACGUAGGGGGCAAGCGUUAUCCGGAUUUACUGGGUGUAAAGGGGGCGGAGACGGCGAUGCAAGCCAGGAGUGAAAGCCCGGGGCCCAACCCCGGGACUGCUCUUGGAACUGCGGGGCUGGAGUGCAGGAGGGGCAGGCGGAAUUCCUGGUGUAGCGGUGAAAUGCGUAGAUAUCAGGAGGAACACCGGUGGCGAAGGCGGCCUGCUGGACUGCAACUGACGUUGAGGCCCGAAAGCGUGGGGAGCAAACAGGAUUAGAUACCCCUGUAGUC
This 440-nucleotide ribosomal RNA is filed under the name uncultured bacterium. Its description in RNAcentral is "partial 16S ribosomal RNA". It matches the Rfam family "Bacterial small subunit ribosomal RNA", at positions 338 to 795 of the family's 1533-position model. The record is from RNAcentral.